ACCUUGUUCCAUUUUGGUAGCCCAGAAAAAAAAAAAAAAAGAAAGUGAGGAGAAGGUAGAGAGAGAUCUUAUCUCACAGCCUCUGUUUCUCUUCUUUCUCCAAAACCGUCGCCUCGCUUCCCCUACGGUUUUACCGCCUCCCUCUCUGUCUGUCUGUCUCUCCCCUUUAUGGCCGCCGACCAACCUAGGGUUUGAAGUCUGAACCAACCUUUUACCUAAGCGUAAAAUUUGGAAAAAAGAAGUGAUGAUGCAUGCAAGGAGACUAAAGUUUAGAAAUCAGAGAUGGGUGCUUCAAAUGUCCAAAUAUUCAGCAACGCCUACCUACACUGUUCAUGGUUCUUCUCAAUCUUUGGGUCAUAAAACAAUUUCGGGAAACCACUGUUUUCAUGGUAGUUUUAUUAGAAGCCAUCUCGUAGAUUCAUUCUUGUUGCGUAAUGUUGCUCCUGGUUAUAGCUGCACUGGUUUGCAUGUAAGGUCUAAUCCGUGUUUGAAGGGUAGCCAGUUACGUGCCUACAGUUCUGAAGGUGACGGAAGGAAUGCAAAUGAGGAUAAUCAAACACCAGUGAAAGGUGAUGCGGACCUCGAUAAAGGGAAGUCUUCUCAAGAAAAAGCAAAGGAAGAUGGGAGGAGUGUGGAUGCACAUGCUCUGCUUGGGGAACAAGAUCAAAAGGAAUGGCUUACUAGUCAAAAGAUUACCAUUGAGAGUAAAAAGAAAGAGUCGCCUUUCUCAACUAAACGAGAGAAGUUCAAAAAUGAGUUUUUGAGGAGGAUUGUUCCGUGGGAGAAAAUAACCGUGUCAUGGGAUACAUUUCCUUACUACAUUCAUGAACCUACCAAAAACCUUUUGGUGGAAUGUGCUGCUUCCCAUUUGAAACAUAAAAAGUUUACUUCCACGUAUGGUUCUCGUUUGACAUCUUCAAAUGGAAGAAUUCUGCUUCAGAGUGCUCCAGGCACUGAACUUUAUCGUGAAAGAUUAGUUAGAGCACUUGCACAAGAUCUCAAAGUUCCCCUCUUGGUGCUAGACAGCAGUGUACUUGCUCCUUAUGAUUUUGGUGACGAUUGCGAAUCUGAAUCAGAUGAUGAUGAUAUGGAGGAGAGUACUUCUGAUUCAGAGAUUGAGGAUGAGAAUGUUGCGAGUAACGAAGAAGAUUGGACUAGUAGUAACGAGCCAAAAUCAGAUUCUAGUGAUAAAGAUGAAAGUGAUGCGCACGCAAGGGCUGAAGCAGCCCUCAAGAAGCUUGUUCCUGUUGAAGAAUUUACAAAGAUGGUAUCUGGGGAAACUGAGAGUUCGUCUGAAUCCUCAAAAUCAGAAACUGCCGAGUCUUCUGAGCAAUGCAAACGACUGCUAAAGAAAGGAGAUCGAGUGAAGUACAUCGGGCCUUCUAUACGUGUUGAAGCUGAUAACAGGGUCCUGUUGGGUAAGAUAUCUACAUCUGAUGGUCCAAGGAAUGCUUAUACCAUCUUCCGUAGCAGGCCUUUACCAAAGGGUCAACGAGGGGAGGUAUAUGAGGUGAGUGGAGAUCGAGUUGCUGUUCUUUUGGAUGUUAAACAGAAGACAGGAACUGAAGUGGAUGAAGAGGAGAAGGUAGCAGGGCAGCCUGCAGAUCCACCGGUUUAUUGGAUACUUGCUAAGGAAAUCGAGCAUAUUCCUGACCCACGGACUGAGGAUUGUUAUAUUGCAAUGGAGGCCCUAUGUGAGGUAUUGCAUGCCAAGCAACCUCUUAUUGUCUAUUUUCCAGACUCUUCUCAAUGGAUGUCUAGGGCAGUUCCCAAGUCAGAUCGCAAGGAGUUUGUCGCUAAGGUGAAAGCAGUUUUUGACGAGUUGUCGGGUCCUGUUGUUUUGAUUUGCGGGCAGAACAAAGUUGAAUCCGGGUCAAAGGAGAAAGAGAAAUUUACAAUGAUACUUCCAAAUUUUGGGCGUCUUGCAAAGCUGCCUCUCUCUCUUAAGCGUCUUACAGAGGGACUUAAAGGAACAAAGAAAUCAGAUGACAAUGAAAUAUAUAAGCUAUUCACAAAUGUUUUCUGCGUUUAUCCGCCAAAGGAGGAAGAGGAUCUUCGAACAUUCAAUAAACAGAUUGAAGAAGACAGAAGAAUUGUGAUAGCAAGGAGCAAUUUAAAUGAAUUACAUGAGGUUCUUGAGGAAAAUGAGCUCUCAUGCAAUGACUUAUUGCUAGUAGACACUGAUGGUGUAAUCUUGACAAAGCGAAAGGCUGAGAGAGUAGUUGGCUGGGCAAAAAACCAUUACUUGUCAUCAUGCCUUCUUCCUUCUGUUAAAGGUGAAAGAUUGCAUCUGCCUUGUGAAAGCCUUGAAAUAGCAAUUUCACGUUUGAAGGAGCAAGAAAGUUUGUCUCGGAAGCCCUCUCAAAAUUUGAAGAACCUAGCAAAGGAUGAAUAUGAGAGCAACUUUGUUUCAGCAGUAGUACCUCCUGGUGAAAUUGGUGUUAGGUUUGAUGAUGUCGGUGCUCUGGAGGACGUGAAGAGAGCGCUGAAUGAACUUGUCAUUCUUCCAAUGAGGAGACCGGAGCUUUUCUCUCAUGGAAACUUGUUGCGGCCUUGCAAAGGAAUAUUACUUUUUGGGCCUCCUGGAACUGGGAAGACCCUUCUUGCCAAGGCACUCGCAACAGAAGCUGGGACGAACUUUAUCAGCAUAACUGGUUCUACUCUAACAUCAAAGUGGUUUGGAGAUGCUGAAAAGCUGACCAAGGCUCUCUUCUCCUUUGCCAGCAAGCUUGCUCCCGUCAUAAUAUUUGUUGAUGAGGUUGAUAGUUUGCUUGGUGCUCGUGGUGGGUCUUUUGAGCAUGAGGCAACUAGAAGAAUGAGAAAUGAGUUCAUGGCAGCUUGGGAUGGAUUGAGGUCCAAAGACAGUCAAAGAAUCCUCAUUCUUGGCGCCACAAAUCGACCAUUUGACCUUGAUGAUGCUGUCAUUCGUCGGUUACCAAGAAGGAUAUAUGUUGAUUUACCUGAUGUUGAAAAUCGUAAGAAGAUAUUGAGUAUAUUUCUUGCUCAAGAGAAUCUAGCACUUGGUUUCCAAUUUGACAAACUUUCAGAAGCAACGGAGGGAUACUCUGGCAGCGAUUUGAAGAACCUCUGCAUUGCUGCUGCUUAUAGACCUGUCCAGGAGCUUUUAGAAGAAGAAAAGAAGUGUGCCAAUUGGUGGUGUUUGGUUACUCAUUGCGCAGGACAUAAAAAUUGACGCUUCUACGGUGUUAAGGCCGCUGACUCUUGAUGAUUUUAUUCAAUCAAAAGCCAAGGUUGGGCCAUCAGUUUCCUACGAUGCUUCAAGCAUGAACGAACUUAGGAAAUGGAAUGAACAAUACGGAGAAGGCGGAAGCAGAAGAAAAUCACCAUUUGGUUUUUGAAACUGAUCUUACAGUGUUCUUUAACAUAGUCUUCGUAGAGAAAGGAAACGCCCUGCUUUAAAGGCUUCCAUUCGUUGAGGGAGAAGGAAGAUGAAAAGCCGAAACGCAGACGCUUUUCGUUACUCAUUAUGCGUUCUUGGAGAACAAAGAAAGAAGAUAAGAGAGGCCCAAAUUUGGAGGCGGCUUUGGGUAACAGUAGGAGGCAAAACCCUCCGUUUUCCCAUCCCUUUUUGAGCGGAUGAGAGAAGUGAAAAGCCCCCAACAAAAUAAUUUACUAUCUUUAUCUUUAUAUACAAAAUUUUCCCAAUUUUUCAUGCCUUGUAAAAUAACAGCAUUGUUUUAGUAAUUUUAGAUUUUUCAGAUUAAAUUAA
Pyrus x bretschneideri (Chinese white pear) is the source of this 3730-nucleotide RNA transcript. RefSeq lists it as uncharacterized. NCBI's taxonomy places the organism in Eukaryota, Viridiplantae, Streptophyta, Magnoliopsida, Rosales, Rosaceae. The transcript has 24 exons. The record is from RefSeq and is a predicted model, not a curated record.